GGUCUGAACUCAGAUCACGUAAGAAAUUAAAAGUCGAACAGACUUAAUAAUUAAGCUACUGCACCUAAUAUUAUAUCUUAAUCCAACAUCGAGGUCGCAAUCUUUAUUAUCAAUAAGAACUUUUCAAAAAAAUUACGCUGUUAUCCCUAAAGUAACUUAAUUUAAUAAUCCAUAAUAAAGGAUCAAAAACUCAUAAAUCAAUGUAAUUAAAAUUAAAAGUUAUUUAAAUUUUAAUAUCUCCCCAAUAAAAUAUAAAUUUUAAUUAUAAUAUAAUAUAUCUAAAUUAUUAAAACUAAAUUCUAUAUAAAGAUUUAUAGGGUCUUCUCGUCUUUCAAAUCAAUUUUAGCUUUUUAACUAAAAAAUAAAAUUCUAUUAUAAAUUUAAUUGAAACAGUUAAUAUUUUAUCCAACCAUUCAUUCCAGCCUUCAAUUAAAAGACUAAUUAUUAUGCUACCUUUGCACAGUUAAUAUACUGCGGCCAUUCAAAAAUUCAGUGGGCAGGCUAGACUUUAAACUUAUUUCUAAAAGACAUGUUUUUGUAA
Molecule: ribosomal RNA, 541 nt
Filed under: Tomosvaryella sp. A
Lineage: Eukaryota; Metazoa; Arthropoda; Insecta; Diptera; Pipunculidae
Description: partial 16S ribosomal RNA
Source: RNAcentral